GUAGUGCCGCCGGGAUUGCAGGCAGAGGAGGUUGCGCAGCCGCUUCCGUGCUACUCGCGCUGUGAGCAUUCCAAGCUAGAGCCGAGUACACGGGCCGGCCAUCAUGUCACGCUACGGGCGGUAUGGAGGAGAAACCAAGGUAUAUGUUGGUAACCUGGGAACUGGUGCUGGUAAAGGAGAGUUAGAAAGGGCAUUCAGUUACUAUGGGCCCUUAAGAACUGUGUGGAUUGCCAGAAAUCCUCCAGGAUUCGCCUUUGUGGAAUUUGAAGACCCUAGAGAUGCAGAGGAUGCAGUUCGAGGAUUGGAUGGGAAAGUGAUUUGUGGUUCUCGAGUGAGGGUUGAACUAUCAACAGGCAUGCCUCGGAGAUCUCGUUUUGAUAGGCCACCUGCCCGUCGUCCCUUUGAUCCUAAUGAUAGAUGCUAUGAGUGUGGUGAAAAGGGACAUUAUGCUUAUGACUGUCAUCGCUAUAGCCGACGAAGAAGAAGCAGGUUUCUUCGUUUGAGUCAGUCGCCUUGAUUCAGAAUGUCACGAGCCUUAUGAUAUCAUGCUGAGGCGCCUUGCAAAUCCGACAAUUAAGAUCCUCCUAGACCUUGAGGUGAUCAGCAUAAGAGGCCAGAUCCCCUCGAGUCAUCUACACCUAGCUUCACCUUAUUCUUUAAAGGGCAGAAAAUUUGAGUCGGUGAUCGCCGUAACAGUAAAUUUGGCUUACAAUUGGGGCCCCCUCCGCUUUAGAAAGAGGAACACCAGAUUGACCACAUUCCCAACUAGAAAAAUCUUCUUGCGUCAAUCAAGCCUCAUCUGGCUCUUUUGGCUGUCAGUUUGAUCGUCGUUAGAUUGAAGAAAACAUCUAGAUGCAGCGAUCGGCUAUAGAUACUUCUAGAUCAUCUAGAUCUACUAGACCUACUACUAGACCAUGGGCCAAAGAGGGUCGACCUGCAAACUUGCAAGGUCACGAUCUAGAUCCCAUUCCCGAUCCAGGGGAAGGCGAUACUCUCGCUCCCGCAGCAGGAGCCGAGGACGGAGGUCAAGAUCAGCAUCUCCUCGCCGAUCAAGGUCUGUGUCUCUUCGUAGAUCAAGAUCAGCUUCACUCAGAAGAUCUAGGUCUGGUUCUAUAAUAGGAUCGAGGUAUUUCCAAUCCCGCUCAAGGUCGAGAUCAAGAUCCAGGUCUAUUUCACGACCAAGAAGCAGCCGAUCAAAAUCCAGAUCUCCAUCUCCUAAAAGAAGUCGUUCCCCAUCAGGAAGUCCACACAGAAGUGCAAGUCCAGAAAGAAUGGACUGAAGUUCUCAAGUUCACCCGUUAGGGAAAAGUUAUUUUGUUUACAUUAUUAUAAGGGAUUUGUUAUGUCUGUAAAGUGUAACCUAGGAAGGAUCAUCAACCAUCUAAUCAAAAUGGAUCUGGAUUAUUACUCUGUAAAAUUCACAGCAGUAAAUAUUGUUUUGUUGAAUGUAUUAACAUCUUAUGGUCUGAAAAUGUGGGUUUUUAUUUGACACGUUUAAAUAAAAUGUUUCUAACUAGAUGUUUUGAUUUUUGUGUUCAAUAUUAAUACUUUUCAAUUGGGUAAGCAUCAGGCAAGGUAACAAUCAAGAGAAUUAUUGGCCAUAUUUAUAUGGGCCUGUAUUCAAAGUUUAAUGGUGUUAGUUAAACAUCAUUAACUGUUCUAUACGUAACACUGGCCAGGAUCUGAAAGGACUUUGAAAUUUUCAUUUUACUCUUGUACCUUUGGGUAAGAUGAUCUUUGAGUCCUUAAUAGCAUGAGUGCAUCAUGUCAGAUCUCUAAAUUGAGAAUUGGUGUUAACAAUUUGGAAUUGUCAAGCUUAGAGGGACCACUGAUAAGCCUACAAAUUGGUGCAUGACAGAAAAUAAGCAGAGUUACUGACAUGUCAGUAGAAACUGAUUUCUAGCGGCUGAGAUUUUAGUAGUGUAGUUUUUCAGGCUAUUAAGUUGGGUUAAUUCUGCUCAAUGUACUUUUUUCCUUUCAAACAACCAAUUUAAUACCAAAAAAUGCAUGUUUGAGGAAUUGUCUGAAUUUGGAACAAAACCUUGUAAACCAGCUUUGCAAAAUUAUCCAGCCCCAGUCCUCUGUUCUUUUGAAUGGAUUGCCUUAUCCUGUGCAAAAACCUGUUAAUAUCUGAGCUAGAUUUUGUAUGAAGCUAUGUGUAAUUGGCAGACUUAUCUGUUGCACUUGGUUAGCUUGGUUACUGACAUUGUUCUAUUUUGCCAAGCUGGUAUAAAGAGAUGUCAAGCAAAGUGUUAAUAAGAUAAAGCAGUUUUGUAAACCUUACAUAUUAGCAUUUCAUGUAGCUAAGGAUUGUUAUGUUUUUGUUUUGGGUUUUUCCUCCUUUGGUAGUGUCUGGUAGACCUUAGAAUGGUGUAGCCAGUAGGUUCUUACUCAGACUUUAAAUAUAUUAUGCAUAAUAGGGCAGUAAUGGUCAUUUUCAAACGUUUUUUGGACAAGCUUUUUACUAUAUUUCUUAGCCUUGGUGUAAAAACAAUAGCACAGGAAUCUGUCCUUGUCUAUUUUAGGCUUUUUCAUCGAAGUUGUCUGCCCCAAAUUUAUUUGGCUGAGUGGUCACUAGUAUGUUGAAAGUCAUUUGGGUUCUGUUUUUAGAAUUUGACUGGUUGAAUAAGUGGUUGGUAUGAAGCUAUGUGUAAUUGGCAGACUUAUCUGUUGCACUUGGUUAGCUUUAAUUGUUCUGUAUUCAAAAAUUAAGUUUGUUCAAUAAAUCUGCAGAGAUUGAACAAAUAA
This is an RNA transcript of Mus musculus (house mouse), 2748 nucleotides long. It is a transcript of the gene named serine and arginine-rich splicing factor 7, with no coding region annotated. The transcript has 9 exons. Lineage: Eukaryota; Metazoa; Chordata; Mammalia; Rodentia; Muridae. The record is from RefSeq and is marked reviewed.